AUUAAAAACCAAUGCCCUCUGGGCUCCUUGGUGAUCCAUGAUAACUUCUCGAAUCGCAUGGCCUUGUGCCGGCGAUGGUUCAUUCAAAUUUCUUCCCUAUCAACUUUCGAUGUUUGGGUAUUGGCCAAACAUGGCCGCAACGGGUAACGGAGGGUUAGGGCUCGACCCCGGAGAAGGAGCCUGAGAAACGGCUACUACAUCCAAGGAAGGCAGCAGGCGCGCAAAUUACCCAAUCCCGACACGGGGAGGUAGUGACAAUAAAUACUGAUACAGGGCUCUUUCGGGUCUUGUAAUUGGAAUGAGUACAAUUUAAAUCCCUUAACGAGGAACAAUUGGAGGGCAAGUCUGGUGCCAGCAGCCGCGGUAAUUCCAGCUCCAAUAGCGUAUAUUAAAGUUGUUGUGGUUAAAAAGCUCGUAGUUGAACCUUGGGCCUGGCUGACCGGUCCGCCUCACCGCGUGUACUGGUUCGGCCGGGCCUUUCCCUCUGUGGAACCUCAUGCCCUUCACUGGGCGUGAC
RNAcentral lists this ribosomal RNA (517 nucleotides) under uncultured fungus. RNAcentral's name for it is "SSU rRNA". It matches the Rfam family "Eukaryotic small subunit ribosomal RNA", at positions 214 to 732 of the family's 1831-position model. The record is from RNAcentral. Lineage: Eukaryota; Fungi.